GGGGCUGACUUGGAUUUCGACAGAUUUCUUGUCGCACAGACAGCAUGCCAAGUGCUGCUUGUAAAACAGCAACAAAAAUAACUGUAAACAACACAGAUUACGCUCCAGCUUACGCUAAAGUUGCGUGAGUUAAUCUCCUUUUGGAGCUGGACUGAUUAGAAUUUCUAGCGUUUUAAUCACUCCAUAACCUUAAGCUAGACGCUUUUAAAAGGUGGUUCGCCUUUUAAACUAAGAGACAAGAACUCUUGAAACUAUCUCAAGGUUUUAGAAAGUUGGACCAGAGCUAGUUUUAAGGCUAAAAAGCUAACCAAUUUUCUAAGCAUUGUAGAAGUUUGUGUUUAGGGCAAGAUUUUUGGACUGGGGUUCGAUUCCCCACAGCUCCACCA
Molecule: transfer-messenger RNA, 386 nt
Filed under: Helicobacter pylori
Lineage: Bacteria; Pseudomonadati; Campylobacterota; Epsilonproteobacteria; Campylobacterales; Helicobacteraceae
Rfam family: transfer-messenger RNA
About the family: Bacterial tmRNA, also known as 10Sa RNA or SsrA, is named for its dual tRNA and mRNA-like properties.
Source: RNAcentral